RNAcentral lists this ribosomal RNA (492 nucleotides) under uncultured bacterium. Its description in RNAcentral is "partial 16S ribosomal RNA". It matches the Rfam family "Bacterial small subunit ribosomal RNA", at positions 30 to 507 of the family's 1533-position model. The record is from RNAcentral.
AUUGAACGCUGGCGGUAGGCCUAACACAUGCAAGUCGAACGGCAGCACAGUAAUAGCUCGCGCUUACGGGUGGCGAGUGGCGGACGGUGGAUGAGUACAUCGGAAUCUACUUUGUCGUGGGGGAGAACGUGGGGGAACAUACGCUAAUACCGCAGACGACGUACGGGUGGAAGCAUGGGAUCUUCCGACCUUGCGCGAGUGAAGGAGCCGAUGUCGGAUUAGCUAGUUGGCGGGGUAAAGGCCCACCAAGGCGACGAUCCGUAGCUGGUCUGAGAGGAUGAUCAGCCACACUGGAACUGAGACACGGUCCAGACUCCUACGGGAGGCAGCAGUGGGGAAUAUUGGACAAUGGGCGCAAGCCUGAUCCAGCCAUACCGCGUGGGUGAAGAAGGUCUUCGGGUUGUAAAGCCCUUUUGUUGGGAAAGAAAAGCAGCAGGUUAAUACCUCGCUGUUCUGACGGUACCAACAGAAUAAGCACCGGCUAACUUCGUG